AUGAUCAUGGAGUGCAUUAAGAGGAAGAGACAGGGUCGUGGCCGUCCUCACAAGGACUCGGGACGCUCCUCUGAUUCUCGUGAGGGCUCCCUUGAGAAGGUUCACCAGGAGAUGCUCACCUUGCUGCGCCACCUUGCGGCUUCUGCACCACCCUCAGGUUCUGCUGGUCAAACAUCUAGUCCACCGCCACACCCUUCGUCAGGUACAUCUUUGCCCUGGAUUCUUGAUUCUGGGGCCUCCUUCAACAUGACACCACACAUACAUGACCUUUGUGUGGUCAACUUUGUGCCCUCUCCACUUCCCCUUAAGAUAGAGGAUGGCACUUCUCUUCCUCUUGCAACAUGA
Molecule: ribosomal RNA, 345 nt
Filed under: Triticum aestivum (bread wheat)
Lineage: Eukaryota; Viridiplantae; Streptophyta; Magnoliopsida; Poales; Poaceae
Description: partial small subunit ribosomal RNA
Source: RNAcentral